RNAcentral lists this ribosomal RNA (660 nucleotides) under uncultured bacterium. Its description in RNAcentral is "bacterial SSU rRNA". It matches the Rfam family "Bacterial small subunit ribosomal RNA", at positions 93 to 740 of the family's 1533-position model. The record is from RNAcentral.
GAGUGGCGCACGGGUGAGUAACACGUAGGUAAUCUACCUUCGGGUGGGGAAUAACAACCGGAAACGGUUGCUAAUACCGCAUAAUGCACUAAUGGUGACAGUUGUUAAGGCGGGGGAUCGAAAGACCUCGCGCCUGAAGAGGAGCCUGCGGCGGAUUAGCUAGUUGGCAGGGUAAUGGCCUACCAAGGCGACGAUCCGUAGCCGGCCUGAGAGGGCGGUCGGCCACACUGACACUGACAUACGGGUCAGACUCCUACGGGAGGCAGCAGUCGGGAAUUUUGGGCAAUGGGCGAAAGCCUGACCCAGCAACGCCGCGUGAAGGAUGAAAUCCCUCGGGAUGUAAACUUCGUAAGAACGGGAAGAAUUAGCCUGUGCGAAUAACACAGGUGAUGACGGUACCGUUUGUAAGCUCCGGCUAACUCCGUGCCAGCAGCCGCGGUAAUACGGGGGGAGCAAGCGUUGUUCGGAUUUACUGGGCGUAAAGGGCGCGUAGGCGGCCACCGCAAGUCAGUUGUGAAAUCUCCGGGCUUAACUCGGAAAGGUCAACUGAUACUGCGGGGCUAGAGUGCAGAAGGGGCAACUGGAAUUCUCGGUGUGGCGGUGAAAUGCGUAGAUAUCGAGAGGAACACCUGCGGCGAAGGCGGGUCGCUGGGCCGACAC